CGAGGUCGAAUUGGAGGGAAUCGCCGUCGACUGGCCUCAGAAGCCGACAUAGAAGUGCAUCGAUGAUCUGUCCUGAGUACUGCACCUCUCGCAACUGGUAUAGUGGCCACAAGAAGGACUGUCAUAGCAUAUCUCUGUGCUGAUCAUCGAGCAACUCCAACACAGCAGUAAAACUCUCAAAGCUACUGUUCCAAGUAGCCUUCCCCGCCAUCCGUCUCAACUCCCCAUCUAAAUGAUACUCCAUCC
RNAcentral lists this long non-coding RNA (246 nucleotides) under Olea europaea (common olive). RNAcentral's name for it is "long non-coding RNA (OEUR_LNC009476)". The record is from RNAcentral. Lineage: Eukaryota; Viridiplantae; Streptophyta; Magnoliopsida; Lamiales; Oleaceae.